This 495-nucleotide ribosomal RNA is filed under the name uncultured bacterium. Its description in RNAcentral is "partial 16S ribosomal RNA". It matches the Rfam family "Bacterial small subunit ribosomal RNA", at positions 28 to 507 of the family's 1533-position model. The record is from RNAcentral.
GACGAACGCUGGCGGCGUGCCUAAUACAUGCAAGUAGAACGCUGAAGGAGGAGCUUGCUUCUCUGGAUGAGUUGCGAACGGGUGAGUAACGCGUAGGUAACCUGCCUGUUAGCGGGGGAUAACUCUUGGAAACGAUAGCUAAUACCGCAUAAUAGUAGAUGUUGCAUGACAUUUGCUUAAAAGGUGCAAUUUCAUCACUACCAGAUGGACCUUCGUUGUAUUAGCUAGUUGGUGAGGUAACGGCUCACCAAGGCAACGAUACAUAGCCGACCUGAGAGGGUGAUCGGCCACACUGGGACUGAGACACGGCCCAGACUCCUACGGGAGGCAGCAGUAGGGAAUCUUCGGCAAUGGACGGAAGUCUGAACGAGCAACGCCGCGUGAGUGAAGAAGGUUUUCGGAUCGUAAAGCUCUGUUGUAAGAGAAGAACGAGGGUGAGAGUGGAAAGUUCACACUGUGACGGUAGCUUACCAGAAAGGGACGGCUAACUACGUG